GACUCCGGUGGUGGCACUCCGGACUUUGUCUGGACAGGGUUCAAGUCCCUGCGGUGUC
Molecule: small nuclear RNA, 58 nt
Filed under: Lates calcarifer (barramundi perch)
Lineage: Eukaryota; Metazoa; Chordata; Actinopteri; Centropomidae
Source: RNAcentral